GAUGAACGCUAGCGGGAGGCCUAACACAUGCAAGCCGAGCGGUAGAGUUUCUUCGGAAACUUGAGAGCGGCGCACGGGUGCGUAACACGUGUGCAACCUACCUUUAUCUGGGGGAUAGCCUUUCGAAAGGAAGAUUAAGACCCCAUAAUAUAAUGAUUGGCAUCAAUUAUUAUUGAAAACUCCGGUGGAUAGAGAUGGGCACGCGCAAGAUUAGAUAGUUGGUGAGGUAACGGCUCACCAAGUAAAUGAUCUUUAGGGGUCCUGGGAGGGAGAUCCCUCACACUGGUACAGGGUCACCGACCAGACUACUGCGGCACGCAGCAGUGAGGAAUAUUAGGCAGUGGGUGGGAGCCUUAUCCAGCCAUCCCGCGUGAAGUAUGACGGUCCUAUGGGUUGUAAACUUCUUUUGUACAGGGAUAAACCUACCCUCGUGAGUGUAGCUGAAGGUACUGUACGAAUAAGCACCGGCUAACUCCGUG
This 479-nucleotide ribosomal RNA is filed under the name uncultured bacterium. RNAcentral's name for it is "partial 16S ribosomal RNA". It matches the Rfam family "Bacterial small subunit ribosomal RNA", at positions 28 to 507 of the family's 1533-position model. The record is from RNAcentral.